AGAGUUUGAUCCUGGCUCAGGACGAACGCUCGCGGCGUGCCUAAUGAAUGUGAGUCGAACGAGAACCGGCCGGCUUCUUCGGAAAUCGGCCGGGGAGAGUGGCGAACGAGUGAGUAACACGUGGGCAACGUGCCCCGGAGACAGGGAUAACGGCGGGAAACUGCUGCUAAUACCUGAUAUGCUCGCAGGAUGUCAUGUCUUUGCGAGGAAAGGACCUCCGCUCCGGGAUCGGCCCGCGGACCAUUAGUUAGUUGGUGGGGUAACGGCCUACCAAGACUGCGAUGGUUAGCCGGCCUGAGAGGGUGACCGGCCACACUGGGACUGAGACAUGGUCCAGACUCCUACGGGAGUUAGCAACAGGGAAUCUUGCACAAUGAGCGCAAGCUCGAUGCAGCGACGCCGCGUGGGUGAUGAAGGCCUUACGGGUCGUAAAGCCCUGUCAGGAGGGACGAAUGCCCGGCAAUCUGUCGGGAGCGACGGUACCUCCAAAGGAAGCCCCGGCUAACUACGUGCCAGCAGCCGCGGUAAAACGUAGGGGGCGAGCGUUGUCCGGAAUUAUUGGGCGUAAAGAGCGCGUAGGCGGCAUAGUAAGUGGCAGGUGAAAUCCCGAGGCUCAACCUCGGAACUGCUUGCCAAACUGCUAAGCUAGAGUGCGGGAGAGGAGAGCGGAAUUCCUGGUGUAGCGGUGAAAUGCAUAGAUAUCAGGAGGAACACCCGUGGCGAAGGCUGCUCUCUGAACGUUACUGACGCUGAGGCGCGAAAGCUAGGGGAGCGAACGGGAUUAGAUACCCCGGUAGUCCUAGCCGUAAACGAUGGUCACUAGGUGUUGGGGGCAUCGACCCCCCCAGUGCUGCUAUGUUAACGCGCUAAGUGACCCGCCUGGGGAGUACGACCGCAAGGUUGAAACUCAAAGGAAUUGACGGGGGCCCGCACAAGCGGUGGAGCAUGUGGGUCAAUAUGAUGCAACGCGUAGAACCUUACCAGGGCUAGACAACAGAUGACCGUCAGGGAAACCUGUACUUCCUGGGCAACCAGGCAUCUGGCUUCAGGUGGUGCAUGGCUGUCGUCAGCUCGUGUCGUGAGAUGUUGGGUUAAGUCCCGCAACGAGCGCAACCCCCAUCAGAUGUUGCCAUCGGGUAAUGCCGGGCACUCUUCUGAAACUGCCGGAGUAAUCCGGAGGAAGGCGGGGACGACGUCAAGUCUGCAUGCCCCUUACGUCCUGGGCUGCACACGUGCUACAAUGGCCGGUACAAAGGGUUGCCAAACCGCGAGGUGGAGCCAAUCCCAUAAAACCGGUCCCAGUUCGGAUCGGAUGUCUGCAACUCGACUCCGUGAAGGUGGAAUCGCUAGUAAUCGUGGAUCAGCAACGCCACGGUGAAUACGUUCCCGGGCCUUGUACACACCGCCCGUCAAGUCACAAAAGCUGGCAGCGCCCGAAGCCGGUGUUGGAACCCUUCGGGGACCUAGCUGUCGAAGGUGAGGCCAGUGAUUUGGACUAAGUCGUAACAAGGUA
RNAcentral lists this ribosomal RNA (1513 nucleotides) under metagenome. RNAcentral's name for it is "bacterial SSU rRNA". It matches the Rfam family "Bacterial small subunit ribosomal RNA". The record is from RNAcentral.